CAUGCAGUCGAACGAUGAAGCCAGCUUGCUGGUGGAUUAGUGGCGAACGGGUGAGUAACACGUGAGUAACCUGCCCUUGACUCUGGGAUAAGCCUGGGAAACCGGGUCUAAUACUGGAUACGACCUUCCCACGCAUGUGGUGUUGGUGGAAAGCUUUUGUGGUUUUGGAUGGACUCGCGGCCUAUCAGCUUGUUGGUGGGGUAAUGGCCUACCAAGGCGACGACGGGUAGCCGGCCUGAGAGGGUGACCGGCCACACUGGGACUGAGACACGGCCCAGACUCCUACGGGAGGCAGCAGUGGGGAAUAUUGCACAAUGGGCGCAAGCCUGAUGCAGCGACGCCGCGUGAGGGAUGAAGGCCUUCGGGUUGUAAACCUCUUUCAGUAGGGAAGAAGCUGAUCUUUUGGGUUGGUGACGGUACCUGCAGAAGAAGCGCCGGCUAACUACGUGCCAGCAGCCGCGGUAAUACGUAGGGCGCAAGCGUUAUCCGGAAUUAUUGGGCGUAAAGAGCUCGUAGGCGGUUUGUCGCGUCUGCCGUGAAAGUCCGGGGCUUAACCCCGGAUCUGCGGUGGGUACGGGCAGACUAGAGUGCAGUAGGGGAGACUGNAAUUCCUGGUGUAGCGGUGAAAUGCGCAGAUAUCAGGAGGAACACCGAUGGCGAAGGCAGGUCUCUGGGCUGUAACUGACGCUGAGGAGCGAAAGCAUGGGGAGCGAACAGGAUUAGAUACCCUGGUAGUCCAUGCCGUAAACGUUGGGCACUAGGUGUGGGGGACAUUCCACGUUUUCCGCGCCGUAUCUAACGCAUUAAGUGCCCCGCCUGGGGAGUACGGGCCGCAAGGCUAAAACUCAAAGGAAUUGACGGGGNCCCGCACAAGCGGCGGAGCAUGCGGAUUAAUUCGAUGCAACGCGAA
Molecule: ribosomal RNA, 910 nt
Filed under: bacterium 21a7_pink
Lineage: Bacteria
Description: bacterial SSU rRNA
Rfam family: Bacterial small subunit ribosomal RNA
Source: RNAcentral